AAAAAAGGUAAGCUACUAAGAGCGAAUGGUGGAUGCCUUGACUGGUAAAGGCGAUGAAGGACGUACUAGACUGCGAUAAGCUACGGGGAGCUGUCAAGAAGCUUUGAUCCGUAGAUUUCCGAAUGGGGCAACCCAAUGUAUAGAGAUAUACAUUACCUAUAUAGGAGCGAACGAGGGGAAUUGAAACAUCUUAGUACCCUCAGGAAAAGAAAUCAAUAGAGAUUGCGUCAGUAGCGGCGAGCGAAAGCGCAAGAGGGCAAACCCAGUGCUUGCACUGGGGGUUGUAGGACUGCAAUGUGCAAGAGGUAAGUUUAGCAGAACAUUCUGGAAAGUAUAACCAUAGAGGGUGAUAGUCCCGUAUGCGAAAAACAAACCUUAGCUAGCAGUAUCCUGAGUAGGGCGGGACACGAGGAAUCCUGUCUGAAUCCGGGUCGACCACGAUCCAACCCUAAAUACUAAUACCAGAUCGAUAGUGCACAAGUACCGUGAGGGAAAGGUGAAAAGAACUGAGGUGAUCAGAGUGAAAUAGAACCUGAAACCAUUUGCUUACAAUCAUUCAGAGCCCUAUGUAGCAAUACAGGGUGAUGGACUGCCUUUUGCAUAAUGAGCCUGCGAGUUGUGGUGUCUGGCAAGGUUAAGCAAACGCGAAGCCGUAGCGAAAGCGAGUCUGAAUAGGGCGCUUAGUCAGAUGCUGCAGACCCGAAACGAAGUGAUCUAUCCAUGAGCAAGUUGAAGCUAGUGUAAGAACUAGUGGAGGACUGAACCCAUAGGCGUUGAAAAGCCCCGGGAUGACUUGUGGAUAGGGGUGAAAGGCCAAUCAAACUUCGUGAUAGCUGGUUCUCUCCGAAAUAUAUUUAGGUAUAGCGUUGUGUCGUAAUAUAAGGGGGUAGAGCACUGAAUGGGCUAGGGCAUACACCAAUGUACCAAACCCUAUCAAACUCCGAAUACCUUAUAUGUAAUCACAGCAGUCAGGCGGCGAGUGAUAAAAUCCGUCGUCAAGAGGGAAACAACCCAGACUACCAGCUAAGGUCCCUAAAUCUUACUUAAGUGGAAAACGAUGUGAAGUUACUUAAACAACCAGGAGGUUGGCUUAGAAGCAGCCAUCCUUUAAAGAAAGCGUAAUAGCUCACUGGUCUAGUGAUUUUGCGCGGAAAAUAUAACGGGGCUAAAGUAAGUACCGAAGCUGUAGACUUGCACACAACUUAGAUUAUUUAAGUUUAGAAUAUGAGAAACUAAGUUAUAUGUUUAGUUAUAUUUUUACUGAUUUUUAUAGAGUAAAGAUAGAAAUAAAACUUAGUAAAAUCAGUAAAAAUAUUCUUAGACUAAAGUUAAGUAGUUUAAGUUGUGUGCAAGUGGUAGGAGAGCGUUCUAUUUGCGUCGAAGGUAUACCGGUAAGGAGUGCUGGAGCGAAUAGAAGUGAGCAUGCAGGCAUGAGUAGCGAUAAUUAAUGUGAGAAUCAUUAACGCCGUAAACCCAAGGUUUCCUACGCGAUGCUCGUCAUCGUAGGGUUAGUCGGGUCCUAAGUCGAGUCCGAAAGGGGUAGACGAUGGCAAAUUGGUUAAUAUUCCAAUACCAACAUUAGUGUGCGAUGGAAGGACGCUUAGGGCUAAGGGGGCUAGCGGAUGGAAGUGCUAGUCUAAGGUCGUAGGAGGUUAUACAGGCAAAUCCGUAUAACAAUACUCCGAGAACUGAAAGGCUUUUUGAAGUCUUCGGAUGGAUAGAAGAACCCCU
This 1731-nucleotide ribosomal RNA is filed under the name Campylobacter jejuni. Its description in RNAcentral is "partial 23S ribosomal RNA". It matches the Rfam family "Bacterial large subunit ribosomal RNA", at positions 1 to 1604 of the family's 2925-position model. Lineage: Bacteria; Pseudomonadati; Campylobacterota; Epsilonproteobacteria; Campylobacterales; Campylobacteraceae. The record is from RNAcentral.